This is a long non-coding RNA of Mauremys reevesii (Reeves's turtle), 590 nucleotides long. RefSeq lists it as uncharacterized. The record is from RefSeq and is a predicted model, not a curated record. The transcript is spliced from 3 exons. NCBI's taxonomy places the organism in Eukaryota, Metazoa, Chordata, Testudines, Geoemydidae.
GAAGGCAAGCAGCAGCCGCCACCACUGCCGCCACCGCCACUGCCACCACCACCACCACCGCUACUCCUUGGGAAGAUAUUUUUGGGGCUGAUACUCCCAGAUAAAGAAGGGUAACCAGGUGUGGUAGGAAGGAGUCCAGGGAAGGAGCAGUGAGGGCUGAGAUACGAAAGUCCAGAACUGCUGAGCUGAGGGUCCCUGAACUGGAAUCAGGAGUUGAGGGUGGACGUGGGUUCCCCUACCAGCUAUUGGGACAGUGAGAGAAUGUUUUUACUUCGGAGGUUGGGGCAGUGAUACCAUGUAUUAAUUUGAGUUUUGGAAAGAGAGAGUGAAUUGAGUUCAUCUAUUUUUCCUUCCUUGAAGAUGGAGACUCAAAUUCUGAUUGUGUUUAAAGAUUGCUGUGGUUAUCUCGUCAUACUCUCCUUUCUCUACAUCUUAGAAACACCACACAGUUGGAAACCUGUGCUCCAGUGGAAUAGUGUAACUCUUUCAGAUCAGGCCUGAAGUGCAUUGGCGCAGCCAUGUGUAACAGUGUCUCACUCAAGCCAGUGUGAUUAGUAUUUCAUCGUAUUCAACAUGAUAUUCAUUUACAA